CCUUAUCUGGAUCGGGUUUCGCUGGCUAACGUGUUGUAAAAGCGAACAAGCGAGUAAAUCUUCAAUUCGUUGUCGACGAAACCUGCACGGAAUAAGG
This is a non-coding RNA of Anopheles funestus (African malaria mosquito), 97 nucleotides long. The record is from Rfam. NCBI's taxonomy places the organism in Eukaryota, Metazoa, Arthropoda, Insecta, Diptera, Culicidae.